This 196-nucleotide small nuclear RNA is filed under the name Helianthus annuus (common sunflower). RNAcentral's name for it is "U2 spliceosomal RNA". It matches the Rfam family "U2 spliceosomal RNA". From Rfam's summary of the family: U2 is a small nuclear RNA (snRNA) component of the spliceosome (involved in pre-mRNA splicing). Complementary binding between U2 snRNA (in an area lying towards the 5' end but 3' to hairpin I) and the branchpoint sequence (BPS) of the intron results the bulging out of an unpaired adenosine, on the BPS, which initiates a nucleophilic attack at the intronic 5' splice site, thus starting the first of two transesterification reactions that mediate splicing. Lineage: Eukaryota; Viridiplantae; Streptophyta; Magnoliopsida; Asterales; Asteraceae. The record is from RNAcentral.
AUACCUUUCUCGGCCUUUUGGCUAAGAUCAAGUGUAGUAUCUGUUCUUAUCAGUUUAAUAUCUGAUAUGUGGGUCAUCGGCCCACUCGAUAUUAAUCUUAUUUUUUAUGGGGAAAGACCCAUCACAAUAGCUUGCUAUUGGGGUCUUUGACCGUCGCCUUGGUCUUGCACUAUUGCCUUGGCCUGGCGCACCCCUC